UUUACCAAAAACAUCGCCUCUUGACAAAAUAUAAGAGGUCCAGCCUGCCCAGUGACCUAGUUCAACGGCCGCGGUAUCCUAACCGUGCGAAGGUAGCGUAAUCACUUGUUCUUUAAAUGAGGACUAGUAUGAAUGGCACCACGAGGGUUAAGCUGUCUCCUUUUUCUAAUCAGUGAAACUAAUCUCCCCGUGAAGAAGCGGGGAUUAUAUUAUAAGACGAGAAGACCCUAUGGAGCUUAAAACAAAUUAACACCUGCUUCUGCCUAAUUUACUUCAUGAAUUAACAUAUAAAGUAUAGCAUCGCUGAUUAAUAGUUUUCGAUUGGGGUGAUCAUGGAGUAAAAAAUAACCUCCACGACGAAAAGGAACACUUCCCUGAGCCAAAAGCCACAACUUUAAGCACUAAAAAAUUGACGCACUUUGACCCAAAUUUUUGAGCAACGAACCAAGUUACCCUAGGGAUAACAGCGCAAUCCACUUCAAGAGCCCCUAUCGACAAGUGGGUUUACGACCUCGAUGUUGGAUCAGGGUGUCCCAGUGGUGC
This 543-nucleotide ribosomal RNA is filed under the name Boana lanciformis. RNAcentral describes it as "partial 16S ribosomal RNA". It matches the Rfam family "Bacterial large subunit ribosomal RNA", at positions 1803 to 2556 of the family's 2925-position model. The record is from RNAcentral. Lineage: Eukaryota; Metazoa; Chordata; Amphibia; Anura; Hylidae.